GGCAACGUAGCUCAGCGGUUAGAGCGGGCGCUUCAUAAGCGCUAGGUCACUGGUUCGAUCCCAGUCGUUGCCA
This 73-nucleotide transfer RNA is filed under the name Chloroflexota bacterium. Its description in RNAcentral is "Chloroflexi bacterium tRNA-Met". It matches the Rfam family "tRNA". From Rfam's summary of the family: Transfer RNA (tRNA) molecules are approximately 80 nucleotides in length. Their secondary structure includes four short double-helical elements and three loops (D, anti-codon, and T loops). Lineage: Bacteria; Bacillati; Chloroflexota. The record is from RNAcentral. RNAcentral also lists the same sequence under 2 other names.